Hemicordylus capensis (graceful crag lizard) is the source of this 551-nucleotide long non-coding RNA. RefSeq lists it as uncharacterized. The record is from RefSeq and is a predicted model, not a curated record. The transcript is spliced from 3 exons. Lineage: Eukaryota; Metazoa; Chordata; Lepidosauria; Squamata; Cordylidae.
CUGAAAAGCUUUUCAUUCUGCCCUCCCCCCCCUGCCCCAGCUGUGCCAGCCUGCCACCACUGGUCUGGGAUUCCUUCCCUUCUUUUUUGUCCUUCGCCAGUGUGUGGGGCAGAAGAUUCAGGACGAAGAGGGGACACAUCCCCGCAGCCUGCUGUGACCAUCGCCGGCCUUCCAGGUGGAACAGCUGCAAUCAGAACUCCUUGUCUCACUUUCUCUCUACUUUCCCAGCAACCAGUUUGCCGCAUCAUGACUUCUGGAUGGCAUCUGUUCUCUUCCCAUCAACUGGUCAACAGAGAGGAACACUGAUGAACUUCUCUGGAGCCACUAUUAAGAAGGCGCUUCUCCUUCCCACAGAGAUUCUUAACAUUGUGGAGAUCAGCAAAACCCUUCGUGAUCUUAGAAGGCAGCAAGGUCAUACAAUUUUAUAAACUGUGAAGAUACAAACUCUUAGAGAUACUGCUCUAAGAGCAGUGGUUUCUACAUACAUAAAUUAAUAAGAAUCAAACAGGCAGAGCCUAUUUUAGAUAUUUACUCAUGCUUCCCAAAAUGCU